GAUGAACGCUGGCGGCGUGCCUAACACAUGCAAGUCGAACGGAGCUGCUUUGAUGAAGUUUUCGGAUGGAUUUAAAACAGCUUAGUGGCGGACGGGUGAGUAACGCGUGGGUAACCUGCCUCACACUGGGGGAUAACAGUUAGAAAUAGCUGCUAAUACCGCAUAAGCGCACGGUUCCGCAUGGAACAGUGUGAAAAACUCCGGUGGUGUGAGAUGGACCCGCGUCUGAUUAGCCAGUUGGCGGGGUAACGGCCCACCAAAGCGACGAUCAGUAGCCGGCCUGAGAGGGUGAACGGCCACAUUGGGACUGAGACACGGCCCAAACUCCUACGGGAGGCAGCAGUGGGGAAUAUUGCACAAUGGGGGAAACCCUGAUGCAGCGACGCCGCGUGAGUGAAGAAGUAUUUCGGUAUGUAAAGCUCUAUCAGCAGGGAAGAAAGUGACGGUACCUGAAUAAGAAGCCCCGGCUAACUACGUGCCAGCAGCCGCGGUAAUACGUAGGGGGCAAGCGUUAUCCGGAUUUACUGGGUGUAAAGGGAGCGUAGACGGCAAGGCAAGUCUGAAGUGAAAGCCCGGUGCUUAACGCCGGGACUGCUUUGGAAACUGUUUAGCUGGAGUGCCGGAGAGGUAAGCGGAAUUCCUAGUGUAGCGGUGAAAUGCGUAGAUAUUAGGAAGAACACCAGUGGCGAAGGCGGCUUACUGGACGGUAACUGACGUUGAGGCUCGAAAGCGUGGG
RNAcentral lists this ribosomal RNA (736 nucleotides) under uncultured Lachnospiraceae bacterium. Its description in RNAcentral is "bacterial SSU rRNA". It matches the Rfam family "Bacterial small subunit ribosomal RNA", at positions 28 to 765 of the family's 1533-position model. The record is from RNAcentral. Lineage: Bacteria; Bacillati; Bacillota; Clostridia; Lachnospirales; Lachnospiraceae.